RNAcentral lists this ribosomal RNA (434 nucleotides) under Microlestria nr. fuscicollis 00052226. RNAcentral's name for it is "partial 16S ribosomal RNA". The record is from RNAcentral. Lineage: Eukaryota; Metazoa; Arthropoda; Insecta; Hemiptera; Reduviidae.
CAAAAACAUGUCCUCUUGUUUCUUUAUAUGAGGUUUAACCUGCUCAAUGAAUUUUUAAAUGGCCGCGGUAUUUUAACUGUGCUAAGGUAGCAUAAUAAAUUGUCUUUUAAUUGGGGGCUUGAAUGAAUGGUUGGACGAAGUAUAAACUUUCUUUAAUUUAUAUUAAGAAUUUAACUUUCUAGUUAAAAGGCUGGGAUUUUUUUAUUGGACGAGAAGACCCUAUAGAUCUUUAUAUAUUCUUGUAUUUUAUUUUUUAGAUGUUAUUUUAUUUGAUAUAUGGAUAUAUUUUGUUGGGGUGACAUUAGAAUUUAAUAAACUUCUAAAUUUUAGGUUUCAUUAAUUAGUGUUUAUUUGAUCCACUUUAGUGAUUAUAAGAUUAAGUUACCUUAGGGAUAACAGCGUAAUUUUUUCAAAGAGCCCUAAUCGAUGAUAUA